UUAGAAAGCAUUUCCCUUGGACUAUAGUUUAAAUGGAAAGAGGCUUGUUUCUAUUUUUUGUUUUUAAUAUUGACAGUGCUUAACAUAGUGCCUUGCAUACAGUAGAAGCCUAAGGUUAAUUGAGUUAGUCUUGUCGAUAUUGACAUCUUAUUUCAAUUGGCCAUAUAUAGACACUCAUAGCAUCUACUACACAUCUUCUUGACCCUUCUAAGGCUAGGAAAGGACUCUGGUAUCCGUUCUGGAUUUUUCUGAAAGUAGCCCUGGAUAAUGUGAAUGAGCCAUGGGCAUCUGCUUCCAGAGGAAUUGUGGCAGAUGAAGAGACAGCUGGGAAAGGAUGAAAUUGUCUCUAAACUUCUAUGCCUUGGUGUGGGAUAUGAGCUCCUCAUUAGCAGCCUUGCAGAAAACAAUUACAGGAAGCCUAGAUUAGAAGACAGCUUGAUCUCAAACUGUGUGAGAAGGUGGACCAGAUCAGGUAGGUCACUGAUAUGGACCACAGAGUCUUGGGAAUGAUCGAGCAGGAAGAGAUUUUGUCAACACCAUGUUUUUGCAAUUUGAUUCGGCCAUCCAUUCGAUUGGCAGUUAAAUCUGUUUCCUGGGUACUGUAAAAAUUAAAAUUAUAUCUUAAUAAAAAUAUUAUAUUUCAAGGGAUUUGUUAAAUG
RNAcentral lists this long non-coding RNA (659 nucleotides) under Monodelphis domestica (gray short-tailed opossum). RNAcentral describes it as "lncRNA (ENSMODG00000039628.1)". The record is from RNAcentral. Lineage: Eukaryota; Metazoa; Chordata; Mammalia; Didelphimorphia; Didelphidae.